Molecule: transfer RNA, 73 nt
Filed under: Bos taurus (domestic cattle)
Lineage: Eukaryota; Metazoa; Chordata; Mammalia; Artiodactyla; Bovidae
Also listed under: 1 other name
Rfam family: tRNA
About the family: Transfer RNA (tRNA) molecules are approximately 80 nucleotides in length.
Source: Rfam by way of RNAcentral
UCCCUGGUGGUCCAGUGGCUAAGACUCUGUGCUACCAAUGCAGGGAGUCAGGGUUCGAUCCCCGGACAGGGGA